RNAcentral lists this long non-coding RNA (2357 nucleotides) under Hordeum vulgare. RNAcentral's name for it is "long non-coding RNA (HVUL_LNC013617)". Lineage: Eukaryota; Viridiplantae; Streptophyta; Magnoliopsida; Poales; Poaceae. The record is from RNAcentral.
ACGACAACAACAAAGCACAUAUCAAAACGACACAACAACCACAAAGAUAAUUGGAUAAUCAAAAUAAUAAAAAAGUGAUCUUUGCGGAUCAUCACAUCAACAACUUAAUUUUGCAUGACUUAGAAUCACUAUAUCAUCAUAGCAACAAUAGUCUCACAGUCAUGACACAAUUUUGCAAAAGUGAUAAUGCAAUCAUUAUGAAAGAACCCCACAUUGUUUGCUCUAAACAAAACUUCAAAGUGUCUUUCUUCUGAAUCAUUUCAGCUUAGCACUCUCUUCCGCUCUAGUAAAUGCAUCAGUGAGCACAUCAACGGCCCAAUCCUUGGCAUCCUCCUGCAAGGCAGAGAUGUCAAGAUAAGACUUAGCAUCAAUGUCUAAAGCGCAAGGUAGGUCCAACCUUAGAAACUUAUGCAGGCUGUAACUCUACUGAGUUAGACAAGGACACGUGUAAGAUCAACGCAAUAGAAAAGAGACGACUUUGGUCACAUGUUCAGGUUCUAUACUUAACUUAUGACAUCAUUACUUACAAUUAACAGAGGUAAUAUGUUCCCCAUCCUGGUGCUCUUUUCAAGGGCUUUACUUAUUUCCUGAUCUAACUAUCUUAAACAAUCGAAAAACAGACUAUUGAUCAGAAGUAAUGCAUGUCUGUGUUUUUUGAAUAAGCCAGUUUUGAACUCAGUGGCUGCGAGGUCAUGUUCCAAGCUUAAUAAUAAUAACACAUUUGUAUACAUACAUAUUUCAAGAUGGGUAAGAAUGUUUCGACACUGAUCACUAGCACUAGCUCAGGUAGAGAAGACUAUUUCGAGGAUUUAGAUCCUUGAAUCUGUCAGUUUAAAAUUGCAAGUGUUGUUUCUCUAGUGCUCCACUAUGCUAGGCCUCGUGUACAGGACCCGUUUGGAAGCACGAGGAACACAUGUUCCAAAUCGGAGUGGCAUUCAUCCUCCAAAGUCACUUUAGAAAUUUCUACCCUCAAACAUAUGUUUGUCGUCUGAAUUUCAACUGGUACCACCUAUCAAAUUCAGCUACUCAUGGGUUAUACACAACGACACUUUUACAACAGCAACAAAGCUAGCACGCCAAACAAGGACCCUCUUGGACGCGACUGCGAAACCAAACAAGAAGAUGAGCAACUGCAGUUUCCAGGCUUAGAGAAAAUGUUUGUAACAUAAAAAAUUGCACCACAACAACAUUAGAAAAAUGUUUGUGAUCGGUUUUAAGUCCAAAUGAGAAAUCACAGAAUGGGAUAGAAAAGAGUGAGAUCUGCUGGGAGGGGAGGAAAUGCAUGUUCACACCAAAAUCAACCUGCGUCAUUCCUUUUAGACAUAUGAAUCAUCAUGGAGAUUAAUUGUUGUUAAGAGUUAUGAAUACAACAAAAAUGCUACCAGCGAAUCACUGGAAUGGAAACAACCAAGAAAUAAGAUGAAAAGGACCAUCUCAUCAUCAUCUUCCUCUCUUCUCUUCCUAAUAUGAUCUAGACCCCGUGACUUCAUUUCAAAACUAAUACCGAAGCAAUCAAGAAACAAUGACAAGAAUUGGAAAGCUAACAAGAAUUAGAGAGCUAACAAGCCUAGUAAAUACAAGGCAUACCAAACUUUGGCGUCUUAACGGGAUCCCACGAAGGUGGCGGCUCGUCCACUCCCACUAUAAACCAAGGCUCGGGUAUCUAUAAAAAAACAAAACAGUUGGUCUAAGGUUUAGAUAAUCCAAGUACAACUAUCCAAGGACGGCUACAAAUUGAGGAAUGUUAAUUCAGAAUAAAACAGAACAUCUCUACAUUUUCCUUCCUUUUAUUUGAUGACAGAACAUCAUUAUCAAAUUGCACAGAACAUCUCUACAUUUUCCUUCCUAAGAGUCCAACUAAAUUGCUGUGUUGCAGCUUGGCUAUUAACAACAACAUCUUGUCCAUGGGACUAAAUUUGCAUCACUAGUUGCUUGUCUAUUAACAUCAACAUAAUUGAGAAAGCAUGUGUCGACAUGUAAAUAUAUAGCAUCUUCUCUGACUAAAAGAAAGAGGGUGACCCUGGCAGCACAGGUCUCAACCUGGCUUUGGUUUUUAUUCGAUGUAUGUAUUUGGAGAAAUCAUCACCUACAAACACAAGUACUAGAGCCACCUUGCACCCAUUCUACAAUAAUCAAAGAAAGAGGAUGAGCAUGGCAGUACAGACUUGAGUCAUUUUGCACCGUAAUGCAUGUGAACUUGUCCUCCUCCCGCAACUCCAACAUUUUUUAAAAAGUUGUUGCUCGUAUUACCAUGGCUAACAAGUGGAGGAUCUUGUAACCCAUGCUUCGGUAUGUACACCCAGCUUUAACUUCGACGCGUUCAAAACAAACCUGCUUCAGCUUCCCACACACAUUCC